CAAAAUUAAUCUGAUAUGGACGCAUAUAUAGAGCGAAUUUAUUAGUUUAGCUAAAAAAUAUUGGAAUAUAUACGAUAACUGAUAACUGCAAAAUUCUUAUAUCAAGAGUUCUCAUAGCAGAUUGCAGCUUCAAUUAAUGAACACCUUUACAUAAAUAUAUUUUUUCAAACAAUUUGGUAACAAGUAUUAACCAGGAAAACAUGUGGCAAUCACUUUUAAAAGUCAAGACCAUGAAUCAUCAAAGAUUGCAUCAAAUACGUUUCGUUUAAAAGUGGCAGCUCCAUUGAUUUACUUAAAUAUCAAAAGGCUAAUAAGCGGCAAAUGUGUACAUUUCAUCAACAAACGCAGACGCUUCAGUCUUAAUGUAAGUAACCUUUUCGCAUAUUUUUAGCAACUAACACGAAAAUGGACGACGAGCACAGGAAACAAGGGCAAAACAGAAGUCAUCCAAUUCCAAAAAUUGAAAAAGAAGAAAAACCAGCACAGGAAAUUGGAGUUUUUACGGUUUAUACGAGUCCCAAGAGGCAGCAGUGCUUGCAUAUUGCAAUAUCGCAAGUAUGAAGCAAUAAUAAAUGAGCCCAGACCAUUUCUGAAGCUAAUGCGACUGUUAGAUUUUGCUCAAAUUGCUCCAAAAAGGCAUUAAAUUGCGUUACAAUUUGUUAGCGAAAAACCGAAGUUUUGAAACAUAAAAAAGUAUUGAAGUUAGUGCAGGCAGUUAAAUAAAAAUUAAGUAAAAUGUUGCCAUAACGAAAAUUGCAGGCAUUCAGAAGGCAGCAGAGGCAACGGAGGCAUCAGAGGCAGUACACAGAACAGCAAUGAUGAUGCAUUACCAGCAGCAGGAGUUGGCGGUGCCUGGAAUUUUUUGACAACGAACUCAGACUCUUCACGAAGAAGUAAGAACGUAAAGAACUCAAUUAACAAAGCGAUUCGCUCAGAAAUGCGAUGUCUCGUGAAUUUCAAGCCGAAUGGCAACCAGAUAUUCUCACGAACGAACAGUUUUGAACCCUUAAAAUAGCAAACAAGGGUUCUAUAUAAAACGACACAAGCAAACAAAACAAAGAAAAUCGUUUGCAGGACGUGUCGGCAACGCGGCGCCAACGGCUAAAAGCAGAUUUGACGCUAUAAGCAAUGUGGGCCGAAAUUGAGUAAAAGGAAGAGUGAAAGUGAGUGACGUUUGAACAUGUUUACUUACGCAGAAUAUUCCCUUAUGUUGGUUUCUUAAUUUGUAAAGAGCUUGAAAAACCUACCACAGAG
Long non-coding RNA from Teleopsis dalmanni, 1254 nucleotides. RefSeq lists it as uncharacterized. The transcript is spliced from 4 exons. NCBI's taxonomy places the organism in Eukaryota, Metazoa, Arthropoda, Insecta, Diptera, Diopsidae. The record is from RefSeq and is a predicted model, not a curated record.